This 446-nucleotide ribosomal RNA is filed under the name uncultured bacterium. Its description in RNAcentral is "SSU rRNA". It matches the Rfam family "Bacterial small subunit ribosomal RNA", at positions 26 to 518 of the family's 1533-position model. The record is from RNAcentral.
AGAGCGAACGCUGGCGGCAGGCUUAACACAUGCAAGUCGAGCGGGCGUAGCAAUACGUCAGCGGCAGACGGGUGAGUAACGCGUGGGAACGUACCUUUUGGUUCGGAACAACACAGGGAAACUUGUGCUAAUACCGGAUAAGCCCUUACGGGGAAAGAUUUAUCGCCGAAAGAUCGGCCCGCGUCUGAUUAGCUAGUUGGUGAGGUAACGGCUCACCAAGGCGACGAUCAGUAGCUGGUCUGAGAGGAUGAUCAGCCACAUUGGGACUGAGACACGGCCCAAACUCCUACGGGAGGCAGCAGUGGGGAAUAUUGGACAAUGGGCGAAAGCCUGAUCCAGCCAUGCCGCGUGAGUGAUGAAGGCCCUAGGGUUGUAAAGCUCUUUUGUGCGGGAAGAUAAUGACGGUACCGCAAGAAUAGCCCGGCUAACUUCGCGCCAGCAGCCGC